UACGUAGGGGGCCAGCGUUGUCCGGAUUUAUUGGGCGUAAAGAGCUCGUAGGCGGUCUGUCGCGUCGGUCGUGAAAACUUGGGGCUUAACCCUGAGCUUGCGGUCGAUACGGGCAUGACUGGAGUUCGGUAGGGGAGACUGGAAUUCCUGGUGUAGCGGUGAAAUGCGCAGAUAUCAGGAGGAACACCGGUGGCGAAGGCGGGUCUCUGGGCCGAUACUGACGCUGAGGAGCGAAAGCGUGGGGAGCGAACAGG
This 254-nucleotide ribosomal RNA is filed under the name uncultured bacterium. RNAcentral's name for it is "partial 16S ribosomal RNA". It matches the Rfam family "Bacterial small subunit ribosomal RNA", at positions 524 to 776 of the family's 1533-position model. The record is from RNAcentral.